UGAACGCUAGCUACAGGCUUAACACAUGCAAGUCGAGGGGCAGCGAGAGGAAAGCUUGCUUCCUGUCGGCGACCGGCGCACGGGUGAGUAACGCGUAUCCAACCUUCCCCAUAGUAGAGGAUAGCCCGGCGAAAGUCGGAUUAAUACUCUAUGUUGUGUCAUGAGGACAUCUGAAUAACACUAAAGACUUGUCGCUAUGGGAUGGGGAUGCGUCUGAUUAGGUAGUCGGCGGGGUAACGGCCCACCGAGCCGACGAUCAGUAGGGGUUCUGAGAGGAAGGUCCCCCACAUUGGUACUGAGACACGGACCAAACUCCUACGGGAGGCAGCAGUGAGGAAUAUUGGUCAAUGGGCGCGAGCCUGAACCAGCCAAGUAGCGUGCAGGAUGACUGCCCUAUGGGUUGUAAACUGCUUUUAUGCGGGAAUAAAGUCAGGUACGCGUACCUGUUUGUAUGUACCGCAUGAAUAAGGACCGGCUAAUUCCGUGCCAGCCGCGGC
RNAcentral lists this ribosomal RNA (497 nucleotides) under uncultured bacterium. RNAcentral describes it as "bacterial SSU rRNA". It matches the Rfam family "Bacterial small subunit ribosomal RNA", at positions 30 to 518 of the family's 1533-position model. The record is from RNAcentral.